GCAUAUCAAUAAGCGGAGGAAAAGAAACCAACAGGGAUUGCCCCAGUAACGGCGAGUGAAGCGGCAACAGCUCAAAUUUGAAAUCUGGCUCUCGGGCCCGAGUUGUAAUUUGUAGAGGAUGCUUUUGGUGAGGUGCCUUCCGAGUUCCCUGGAACGGGACGCCAUAGAGGGUGAGAGCCCCGUCUGGUUGGACACCGAUCCUCUGUAAAGCUCCUUCGACGAGUCGAGUAGUUUGGGAAUGCUGCUCUAAAUGGGAGGUAUAUGUCUUCUAAAGCUAAAUACCGGCCAGAGACCGAUAGCGCACAAGUAGAGUGAUCGAAAGAUGAAAAGAACUUUGAAAAGAGAGUUAAACAGUACGUGAAAUUGUUGAAAGGGAAGCGCUUGUGACCAGACUUGGGCUUGGUUGAUCAUCCGGGGUUCUCCCCGGUGCACUCUUCCGGCUCAGGCCAGCAUCAGUUCGCCCUGGGGGAUAAAGGCUUCGGGAAUGUGGCUCUCUCCGGGGAGUGUUAUAGCCCGCUGCGUAAUACCCUGUGGCGGACUGAGGUUCGCGCAUUCGCAAGGAUGCUGGCGUAAUGGUCAUCAGUGACCCGUCUUGAAACACGGACC
RNAcentral lists this ribosomal RNA (606 nucleotides) under Ilyonectria destructans. RNAcentral describes it as "partial large subunit ribosomal RNA". It matches the Rfam family "Eukaryotic large subunit ribosomal RNA", at positions 38 to 667 of the family's 3401-position model. The record is from RNAcentral. RNAcentral also lists the same sequence under 6 other names. Lineage: Eukaryota; Fungi; Ascomycota; Sordariomycetes; Hypocreales; Nectriaceae.